Molecule: long non-coding RNA, 4242 nt
Organism: Denticeps clupeoides (denticle herring)
Lineage: Eukaryota; Metazoa; Chordata; Actinopteri; Clupeiformes; Denticipitidae
Source: Ensembl
CUUGCUGCCCCGCCUUGCUUCAGGCAUCACAGCAGGGCAGAGACGGAGAAUCUGCACAUGAGCGAGUGUGUCACACGCCGUUCAGGUGUGUGUGUGUGUGUGUGUGUGUAAAUGUGGUUCUAUGGGGGGGUUCCUCCACCACAUUGACAGACAAUGAAGCAGGAGGAGGACCACGUGACCUCGCAUCGUCAGCUAUUUGAGUGUCAUCAGAGGAGCUGGGUAAUGGUCUCUAAAGCACCAUUUCACCGUGAACCUGGCAGCGCCGCCGUCCAAAAAACAUCUGGUGCGCUGCUGAGAGCGUCCGUGGUGCCAGGCACGCAACAUCAAGACCGCACAACACGAGAAGCCCUCGCCAGGCCCGGUCCAGCGCAGACGACGCACUUCAAGAAUAAUCGGAAUAACAACGAGUACAGCGGGUGCAAAGGCACGUGUCCUCUUUCACGUCCACCUUCAUUUACAAUCAUGACAGCAAGAUAUGAGGUGUGGUCGUGUGUUUCAGAAGAAUCAGAAUUCUGAUCCUGAUAUGAGGUGUGGUCGUGUGUUUCAGAAGAAUCAGAAUUCUGAUCCUGAUAUGAGGUGUGGUCAUGUGUUUCAGAAGAAUCAGAAUUCUGAUUCUGAAUCUACUGAUCCUGAUAUGAGGUGUGGUCGUGUGUUUCAGAAGAAUCAGAAUUCUGAUCCUGAUAUGAGGUGUGGCCGUGGGUUUGUGCAGCUAAAUGUGGGUAUUUUCAUGAAUUUGUGUGUCAUAUUUAGUACCUUUGUGCCUGUUUUCUCCUUCCUUUGUGAGUCUUUACAUGAAAGAGCUUGAUAUGGGAGCGUAAUACUCUCUCUCUCUCUCCCUGUAUCUCACUGCCUUCCACAAUGACAUGACUGACCUCUAGUGACGACUGCCAGUACACUGCCUGCCUCAUGAACUUUCCUGACUAGACACACCUCAGUUUCAUUCCGAACUUGUCCUCACUGCAGGAACACGUCACCAUGUUUACCCGUCUUACGUUGUUCUUCUGGUGGUCUGGGCCUGCGCUCUGAUGCUCCUCCUGCAGCUCCCUGCAUCAUUUCCACCUUUUGAUGAUCUAGGCUGGUCGAUAUUAAACGUAUCGCAUCAGCAGCAUAAAACAAUCGUAUUUUGCUCAGAAGAUCUGUAUAUCGUGAUAGACUGUGCACAUUAUAGUGUUUUUGUAGAAACCACUUCUGGGCGGAACAGCGCCUCUACCUGCGUGGAGUGCAGGACGGUUCCUACACUGAACGCACCACGUUGCAACGGGACGCUUUACCGCUCGUGCUGCAGUAAAACUGCCUCUUUCUCCCAUUAACUCCUGUAUGUCUGAUGGACAUGUUCUGGUGGACAUGUUCUCCUUGCGUCUUCCGCCAUGCAAAUCCGUACCCUGUCGUGCUAAUGAAAUAACCAAUUACCAUAAAAUGAAGGGGUCCAGUUAUCGUACAUUAUGGGAUUUUUUGGAAUUAUUGAUUGUACAGAGGGCAAAAAUUAUGGUAUAAAUAUGAUAAUUAUCAUACGUCUGGCAACACUUAUAAGUGCAUGUUGGAACUACCUCAAUUCAAUGUAUUUUUUAACAAAAGUUGCCAUUUAUAAGUUUUGAGACCAAUAAUCCCCCAAAUUUCUCAAAAUAGUGCAAAUAAUAAUGAAUUGGGAGUGAGUAGCGAUUCAUUAAAGCUGCGUGCGCUGGACUGAACACGUAAUAGUGGAUGAGCUGUAAUGAGUGGAACCGGGUACGCGGUCCUAUCCAUACAUUACCGCCCAAUACUUUACUAAUUAAAGGAAACAGAUUGAAUUGGAGGCUCGGAACGCCUUGAUUAGAGGUUGAGGCUGGACGGUGUGGUGAAAAUACAUCUGCUACCGUGAUGAAUUUGAGAGGGUAAGACGAGAUUGUCAGAGUGCAGACGUCAGAAGGCCCGGGGCGAAAGUUGAGAUGGACCUAGUUGGGUUGAGUACAGAACCCGUCCGACCUCAGUCGAGGAGGAGGAAUAGGACCCCUGUUUCUCAGGUGGGGUCCAUCCUCUUGGAGAAACCCUAGCCUCCAUCACAGGAAAGAGAAACAGAUGUGAACUGGAAAUCAGAGCUUGUGACUGGCAUCUGCCAUUUGGCCCCAGCGGGGCCUUCGACGUCUUUCAUCUGCUGACCGUCUGCUUGAUUCGGACCAAACUCGUGGAACUGUGCUGCAACCAAUCACCGCUAAAUCAAACCUGGAUCACUAGCACAACACUUGCAAUAUGACAACGACAACAACACAAAGUUGUCCAGUUACUUUGUAGGUCAUUUGUAGGCCGACAAAGGACCCAGAACGGUAAUGUUCUAAAAUGGUUCCAGAGUAAAUUUCUCUUCCACAAACCUAUAACUUCUUCUCUAACCUAUAACCUCGAAGUUUUGCCCGGAAACAACGAGAGCGCCCACCAGUGGUGUGAAACUCAAACCAGCCGCACGUGUCACGGUUGCCAGUCAAGCUACCGUUAGUUUCUGAGUGUAACAUGAAGCCAAUUGGGCCCCGUCAAACCCUGCUGGUCCUUCUGAUUUAAUCCAUUUUAGACUUCCAUUCUGUAGACGUUCCAUUCUAGCUGGAGCCGGUACUUUUGUUGCGGCCGUGAGCUCUGGUGGAUCAUUGAAUUUGAUCGGUUUCAAAUAACAUUUGGUGGCUGAAGCAGCCUGAAGGAACUCGGUUGUCGGUUGUAAACAGGGUUUGUUAUCAGCUUUCUGAACAUCACUGGCGUAAGAUUGGACUUCCAUUAUUCUCUGCGGCGAGGAGCGGAGUAUGCUCAGGUUAAUUCCCGAUCUAGCAAGUCUGUACAUUUUGGAAAAGUUUGAUGUUUCAGGUGCCUGCGAGUUUGCUUGGGUGUGAGUGUGCAUGUAGAUUAUUUUAUGGUACACGUUUAAUAUGCUUUAUUUGCACUAAUUAUUGUUUGGAGUUUGUAGAAUUAUGUUAGUAUUUAAACAAAUAUCUAAUCUUACUGACAGAUGGAUGGUCUUACACCCGGGACCCUGGACGGAGGGGCCGUUAGGGGAUUAGAAUGCUCUAAUAAUGUAGUGGGAUAACUGAAAGGCAGAUUAGGGCCCUACAGGACAGACAAUGUCUUCAUAAUGUCCAGAAGUCACAGACUGACGAAUAUUUAGCAUGCAGGCCAGUCCAGAGGUUUAAAUAAAGCAUUUAUGCAUUUGAUCUGAGAUAACUGCUCAAUCAUCCCUGAGCCCCACACACACACACACACUCACACACACUCCUGCCCUAAUAAAGAGCAUGGAAUGAGAGAAGGCAUGUAACUGUACACCAGAUGUACACUGGAAAGCGGAUACGCAGGUCGGGCCACUACUAUUGGGUCUACAGCCGGGUUCUGGUUACUGAGCAUUGUGUCCAGCCCACAUCAUUGAGGAGGACAAGAGUGAGGAGCAGGAUAAAGACAGCCCUGGACCAAACAGCGUCUGGAUUACAGUCCCUCUAAAAGGGUCUCUGGCACACGGGCAGGUCAGAAAGGAGAAUCGGGACACAUGAACAAGGCACCUUGUCACCAGAACGUGGUCAGGCAGAGGUAGCACCGUCCUGCCUGGUCAUCCUGGCAGCGAAAGGGAUGCUGACGCACCGGUCAGGUCCGCUUCUCGUUGAAAUCACAGACGGGGAACCAUCGAUCUAAAGAUGUAUCUGUUUAAGGGACGGGGACACGGAUCAGUCCUGCAGCUAAUCACCAGGGAGAUAUGAAUAGAAAGAAAGGACCAGGAAGAGAAAGCGAAGAGCACCAGGUCUGUAAAUGAGGAGACGUGACGAGGGAAUUGGCUUGAAUCGGGAGUCCACCGUAGAAACUGGACUUCUAUAAUCUGGUAGAAAGAGGGGGGACGAGGAGGCCGACGGGGAGAAACAGCCGGUCGGAUAAAGUGACGUCAGUGGCCUGCUGGAUUGAGGUGUUGAGUCGUGCUGAUUUUAAUCUGAGCUGAUUAAGGAACAGAAGGAAAAAAGCGCUCCUGUCGAGAGACGGGAAGAUACGCUUUUACGCCCGGGAGAGACGGGGGGCAAAGUGAAAGGAGCAGAACAAGACAAAAAUAACCGACGACCACGCCACUAUCUGAAAGAGCCGCCGCACAUAUCUCGAAAACAAGGACAAAGCGGGGAGAUACCACAGAUACGACGGCAAACUACAAAGGACUUAAUACUGCUGGGGGCUCUCGAGAGAACAGAGGGGGGAAAGAGUCUUGAUUCACAUUCCUUCGCCCCCUCUCUCCCCCUCCCUACCCUUCCCAGGAUC